RNAcentral lists this long non-coding RNA (207 nucleotides) under Elaeis guineensis (African oil palm). RNAcentral describes it as "long non-coding RNA (EGUI_LNC056353)". Lineage: Eukaryota; Viridiplantae; Streptophyta; Magnoliopsida; Arecales; Arecaceae. The record is from RNAcentral.
CUACAGUAUCGAGAUAAUCACUGACGAUUGAAUAGAAAUCCAAGUGAUCUCUCGUAUGGUCAUGCUCAGUACUAGUUGUUCUAUAACAACCACCUGCACUCAUCGUCUUGUGACUUUACACAGUAGACCAGAGAUUUAUCUAUCUCGAAGGAAGCAACUUGUGCACCAUUCUAUCUGGAUCUAUCACCGUCCUCAUGAUGAUCCCAU